UUUCCGUAGGUGAACCUGCGGAAGGAUCAUUCAUAAUAAGUGUUUUAUGGCACUUUUUUAAAUCCAUAUCCACCUUGUGUGCAAUGUCAGGGUUGAUUUUUCUCUCGAGAGGAUCAGACCCAAACAUCAACUAUAUCUCAACUCUUUGUCUGAAAAAUAUUAUGAAUAAACAAUUCAAAAUACAACUUUCAACAACGGAUCUCUUGGCUCUC
RNAcentral lists this unclassified non-coding RNA (212 nucleotides) under plant metagenome. RNAcentral describes it as "partial contains small subunit ribosomal RNA, internal transcribed spacer 1, and 5.8S ribosomal RNA". The record is from RNAcentral.